RNAcentral lists this ribosomal RNA (386 nucleotides) under Agrobacterium tumefaciens. RNAcentral's name for it is "bacterial SSU rRNA". It matches the Rfam family "Bacterial small subunit ribosomal RNA", at positions 375 to 780 of the family's 1533-position model. The record is from RNAcentral. Lineage: Bacteria; Pseudomonadati; Pseudomonadota; Alphaproteobacteria; Hyphomicrobiales; Rhizobiaceae.
GCGCAGCCUGAUCAGCCAUGCCGCGUGAGUGAUGAAGGCCUUAGGGUUGUAAAGCUCUUUCACCGGAGAAGAUAAUGACGGUAUCCGGAGAAGAAGCCCCGGCUAACUUCGUGCCAGCAGCCGCGGUAAUACGAAGGGGGCUAGCGUUGUUCGGAAUUACUGGGCGUAAAGCGCACGUAGGCGGAUAUUUAAGUCAGGGGUGAAAUCCCAGAGCUCAACUCUGGAACUGCCUUUGAUACUGGGUAUCUUGAGUAUGGAAGAGGUAAGUGGAAUUCCGAGUGUAGAGGUGAAAUUCGUAGAUAUUCGGAGGAACACCAGUGGCGAAGGCGGCUUACUGGUCCAUUACUGACGCUGAGGUGCGAAAGCGUGGGGAGCAAACAGGAUUA